GUUUUAAUAGUUUAACAAAAACAUUGGUCUUGUAAAUCAAAAAUAAAGAAUUACUUUUUAAAACU
Molecule: transfer RNA, 65 nt
Filed under: Senometopia sp. 1 HNL-2023a
Lineage: Eukaryota; Metazoa; Arthropoda; Insecta; Diptera; Tachinidae
Description: tRNA-Thr
Rfam family: tRNA
About the family: Transfer RNA (tRNA) molecules are approximately 80 nucleotides in length. Their secondary structure includes four short double-helical elements and three loops (D, anti-codon, and T loops). Further hydrogen bonds mediate the characteristic L-shaped molecular structure. tRNAs have two regions of fundamental functional importance: the anti-codon, which is responsible for specific mRNA codon recognition, and the 3' end, to which the tRNAs corresponding amino acid is attached (by aminoacyl-tRNA synthetases). tRNAs cope with the degeneracy of the genetic code in two manners: having more than one tRNA (with a specific anti-codon) for a particular amino acid; and 'wobble' base-pairing, i.e. permitting non-standard base-pairing at the 3rd anti-codon position.
Source: RNAcentral